Molecule: ribosomal RNA, 447 nt
Filed under: uncultured bacterium
Lineage: Bacteria
Description: bacterial SSU rRNA
Rfam family: Bacterial small subunit ribosomal RNA
Source: RNAcentral
GUCCAGACUCCUACGGGAGGCAGCAGUGGGGAAUAUUGCACAAUGGGGGAAACCCUGAUGCAGCGACGCCGCGUGAGUGAAGAAGUAUUUCGGUACGUAAAGCUCUAUCAGCAGGGAAGAAAAUGACGGUACCUGAUUAAGAAGCCCCGGCUAACUACGUGCCAGCAGCCGCGGUAAUACGUAGGGGGCAAGCGUUAUCCGGAUUUACUGGGUGUAAAGGGAGCGUAGACGGCGAUGCAAGCCAGAUGUGAAAGCCCGGGGCUCAACCCCGGGACUGCAUUUGGAACUGUGUGGCUGGAGUGUCGGAGAGGCAGGCGGAAUUCCUAGUGUAGCGGUGAAAUGCGUAGAUAUUAGGAGGAACACCAGUGGCGAAGGCGGCCUGCUGGACGAUGACUGACGUUGAGGCUCGAAAGCGUGGGGAGCAAACAGGAUUAGAUACCCGAGUAA